RNAcentral lists this ribosomal RNA (676 nucleotides) under Arthrobacter sp. Its description in RNAcentral is "bacterial SSU rRNA". It matches the Rfam family "Bacterial small subunit ribosomal RNA", at positions 334 to 1013 of the family's 1533-position model. The record is from RNAcentral. Lineage: Bacteria; Bacillati; Actinomycetota; Actinomycetes; Micrococcales; Micrococcaceae.
UACUCUAGGGAGGCAGCAGUGGGGAAUAUUGCACAAUGGGCGAAAGCCUGAUGCAGCGACGCCGCGUGAGGGAUGACGGCCUUCGGGUUGUAAACCUCUUUCAGUAGGGAAGAAGCCCUCUUUGGGGGUGACGGUACUUGCAGAAGAAGCGCCGGCUAACUACGUGCCAGCAGCCGCGGUAAUACGUAGGGCGCAAGCGUUAUCCGGAAUUAUUGGGCGUAAAGAGCUCGUAGGCGGUUUGUCGCGUCUGCUGUGAAAGACCGGGGCUCAACUCCGGUUCUGCAGUGGGUACGGGCAGACUAGAGUGCAGUAGGGGAGACUGGAAUUCCUGGUGUAGCGGUGAAAUGCGCAGAUAUCAGGAGGAACACCGAUGGCGAAGGCAGGUCUCUGGGCUGUAACUGACGCUGAGGAGCGAAAGCAUGGGGAGCGAACAGGAUUAGAUACCCUGGUAGUCCAUGCCGUAAACGUUGGGCACUAGGUGUGGGGGACAUUCCACGUUUUCCGCGCCGUAGCUAACGCAUUAAGUGCCCCGCCUGGGGAGUACGGCCGCAAGGCUAAAACUCAAAGGAAUUGACGGGGGCCCGCACAAGCGGCGGAGCAUGCGGAUUAAUUCGAUGCAACGCGAAGAACCUUACCAAGGCUUGACAUGGACCGGAAAGACCCUGAAACCAGGUGC